GGCUCUGCUGUGCGUGCUAGAGCUGGCAUCAUGCAGGGGGCUGCAAGAUUGAAAUGUCAAGCCAGGUAUGACGGCACAUGCCUGUUAUCCCCAUUACUCUGGAGGUGGAAGGAGGAGGAUCCCUGAGCUAUACAGCAAGCUCCUGUUCCUGGGCUCGCCUGACCACUUCUUCCUGUAGUUCAUCCAAUUCACUUCUAGAGGUGACCUCCCCAUCUGAGAUAGAAGCAAAGAAGAUCAAUUACCACACCUCCAGAAUCAAGGCGAAUUAUCUGUUAACCUUAUGGUCACGAUGCCAUUUUCCCUUGGAGCUCUCGCUUUCCAGUUUGUUUCAGAUCCCUUUUCAUUAGAAACAGAGAGAGCAGCACAGGCCACGAAUAGUGACGGUGUUUACAGCAUGUAUAUUUUCAAUAUCUCAUGAAUACUAACAGUGUAACUCUUAAUAUGUUUUAAGCAUUUUCAAUAUACUAAGAACAAUUUUAAAAACA
RNAcentral lists this long non-coding RNA (485 nucleotides) under Mus musculus (house mouse). RNAcentral describes it as "RIKEN cDNA 1810062O18 gene". The record is from RNAcentral. Lineage: Eukaryota; Metazoa; Chordata; Mammalia; Rodentia; Muridae.